AGAGUUUGAUCCUGGCUCAGAUUGAACGCUGGCGGCAGGCCUAACACAUGCAAGUCGAGCGGAUGAGGGGUGCUUGCACCCCGAUUCAGCGGCGGACGGGUGAGUAAUGCCUAGGAAUCUGCCCGAUAGUGGGGGACAACGUUUCGAAAGGAACGCUAAUACCGCAUACGUCCUACGGGAGAAAGUGGGGGCUCUUCGGACCUCACGCUAUCGGAUGAGCCUAGGUCGGAUUAGCUAGUUGGUGGGGUAAAGGCCCACCAAGGCGACGAUCCGUAACUGGUCUGAGAGGAUGAUCAGUCACACUGGAACUGAGACACGGUCCAGACUCCUACGGGAGGCAGCAGUGGGGAAUAUUGGACAAUGGGCGAAAGCCUGAUCCAGCCAUGCCGCGUGUGUGAAGAAGGUCUUCGGAUUGUAAAGCACUUUAAGUCGGGAGGAAGGGCUGUAGGUUAAUACCCUGCGGUUUUGACGUUACCGACAGAAUAAGCACCGGCUAACUUCGUGCCAGCAGCCGCGGUAAUACGAAGGGUGCAAGCGUUAAUCGGAAUUACUGGGCGUAAAGCGCGCGUAGGUGGUUUGGUAAGUUGGAUGUGAAAGCCCCGGGCUCAACCUGGGAACUGCAUCCAAAACUGCCUGACUAGAGUACGGUAGAGGGUGGUGGAAUUUCCUGUGUAGCGGUGAAAUGCGUAGAUAUAGGAAGGAACACCAGUGGCGAAGGCGACCACCUGGACUGAUACUGACACUGAGGUGCGAAAGCGUGGGGAGCAAACAGGAUUAGAUACCCUGGUAGUCCACGCCGUAAACGAUGUCGACUAGCCGUUGGGCUCCUUGAGAGCUUAGUGGCGCAGCUAACGCAUUAAGUCGACCGCCUGGGGAGUACGGCCGCAAGGUUAAAACUUAAAUGAAUUGACGG
RNAcentral lists this ribosomal RNA (913 nucleotides) under uncultured bacterium. Its description in RNAcentral is "bacterial SSU rRNA". It matches the Rfam family "Bacterial small subunit ribosomal RNA", at positions 8 to 916 of the family's 1533-position model. The record is from RNAcentral.